This 792-nucleotide ribosomal RNA is filed under the name uncultured bacterium. RNAcentral's name for it is "bacterial SSU rRNA". It matches the Rfam family "Bacterial small subunit ribosomal RNA", at positions 121 to 916 of the family's 1533-position model. The record is from RNAcentral.
GUAAUCUGCCCUCUGAUGGGGAAUAACCCGCCGAAAGGCGGGCUAAUUCCGCAUAACAUUCCUUGGACUCCGGUUCGAGGAUUCAAAGGCGUAAGUCGUCGGAGGUGGAGCCCGCGCACGAUUAGCUAGUUGGUGAGGUAAUGGCUCACCAAGGCUUUGAUCGUUAGCUGGUCUGAGAGGAUGGCCAGCCACACUGGAACUGAGACACGGUCCAGACUCCUACGGGAGGCAGCAGUGGGGAAUCUUGCACAAUGGGCGAAAGCCUGAUGCAGCGACGCCGCGUGGGGGAUGAAGCUUCUCGGAGUGUAAACCCCUUUCGACCGGGACGAAUACCUCGCAAGAGGGGUGACGGUACCGGUAUAAGAAGCCCCGGCUAACUACGUGCCAGCAGCCGCGGUAAGACGUGGGGGGCCAGCGUUGCUCGGAAUUACUGGGUGUAAAGGGUUCGUAGGCGGUGUGGCAAGUCGGGAGUGAAAUCUCUGGGCUUAACCCAGGGGCUGCUUCCGAAACUGCCGUGCUAGAGUGUGGGAGAGGCGCGUGGAAUUGCAGGUGUAGCGGUGAAAUGCGUAGAUAUCUGCAGGAACACCCGUGGCGAAAGCGGCGCGCUGGACCACUACUGACGCUGAGGAACGAAAGCUAGGGGAGCAAACAGGAUUAGAUACCCUGGUAGUCCUAGCCCUAAACGAUCAGGACUUGGGGUGCCACCCGUUCGGGUGUCGUCCCGGAGCUAACGCGUUAAGUCCUGCACCUGGGGAGUACGGUCGCAAGACUGAAACUCAAAUGAAUUGACGG